AUCCUCCGGUGGACCCAGCCGGGGCGGGAGGACGCGCGCUGCCCAAACUUCGCCAGGGGCGAGCUGGAAGUGGACACGGCUUUCUGGAGCUUUAAACGUGGACAGACUUGUGCUUGAACUCUUUCUGUGGCGCCCGGCCUUUUUUUUUUUUUUUUUUGCCCCCGAUUCUAUAGUAGAGAAAAGGCAUGGCAGAGUUUUGUGGAAUGCACUGCAGCAUGCAUACCCGCGGGGCUGGGAAUUAUUUGAGCCGAAAGCACCGUUGGUGUUUUAUAAAUCCCAAGGGAGGUCUGGGGCGAACUUUCAGAUUUCCAAGCCGAGAAACAGCGCUUCACAUUUAUUCUAAUUGUCUUACUUCUUAAGGACGCGUGUGGAGAUGCCGCUGUCUCGUAGAUGGCAUCUUAUCAGUAGCUUCACAACGAUGCGUAUUUUGUCAUUCUGAUUCGGACGUGAGGGUGUUUUUCCCUCAUCCCCUUCCCUGUUUACCCUCUAGAGACCACAAAAAUAGUGGAAAACAUGAAACAUGUUUUAUUCCCGCCCCCCUCAAAGACUGCCUGCCUUUGUUGGAUACUUAACACAAACUUGUUACACAGUUUUUAAAAGUGUAUAAAAAGGGAGGAUGCGGGGGUGGGGUGGGGAAGCACAAGGAAAGUAUAACAAAAUAAAACACAACAAAUAUUGGACGGUGACUGUCCUCUUAAAGGACUCUUGUGGGUAAUAGGAUUUGCACAUUGUUUGACCUAUAAACUCUUCUGGUUUAAGAAACUCAAAUAUUUGAUCACAAGGAUUGGCUUCAUGUAACAUUUAUCGCAUGUACUUAAAAAAAAAAAUCCAGAAUUAUGGUUGUUGUAUGAUUGUUAUUCCUAAACUCUUCUUUUAAAAAGGAGAAGAAUCUUUAUUUGCUUAUUUUCUACAUCACUAUAACAUUAAGUAGGAGUAAAGUAAAUAUCUAAAUAAGCCCAGUUUUACUUUUUAUGGUACCAAGCUGUUGGGUAUCUAAAAUGCUUUAUUGAUAGUAAUAUAAAAAGAUGAUACACUUUUUAAUAGUAAAGAUUCAAUCAAAAAAAAAAAGAGAAAAGAUUAAAAAAAAUCCAAUCCCCAUCAUUCAUUAUUUCAGCAUUUACUGGUUUUUUAAAAACACAGCCUGGUUCAACAUAAAGAUGUGCAUUUGCAAAAGCAUAUUCCACCUAUUUAUUUGAAGUUUGAGCUGACCUUUUAGAAAAAAGAAUAGCUUUUAUUCACUGCUUUGAUUUGUGGUUUCAAAAGCUUUGGUCACAUUCUCUUCCAGUGUCUGCUUUCUUUGGCUUCUCUUACAUUUUCCCUCCAUCUUCGUCAACAUAAGCUGAUGUUCUUUCCUUUCUACUGAUUGAAAAAAGAUGAUUGAGGGAAAAAUUCCUAUAGGUAUAACUCUCACAACAUAUUCUUGUUUCCUCGCCCCCAAAUAAAAUCCAUAUUUUAUACUAAUAAUUCAAACCCAAGAAAAAGAUGAACUAGCAAAUGAUGUAGAUUUCCUUUGUACUUAAUCAUUCUUUUAUAAACUUUACUUCCCUGAAUAAGAGGUUUCACCAUUUCAUAGAUGUCUGGGGUGGUAAUGGGCACAGGGAAGACUGGAACUCUAAACGCCUAGUUCAGAACUCAUCCAAAGGCAGUAUUUAUUUCCAGCUACACAAGGCAGAAUGAGUCAAGUCUACCCCACAGAUCUUAAGUUUUAAGUUAUCACAUUCCUAGUCCUUUAGGUACUCAGUCAAUGAGCUCAUUUUGAUUGAUUGCAAACGUCUAUUAUAGACUAAAUGUCUGCUAUUUAGACUAAUUUAGUUAAACUAAAACUCUUUAGAUAUUGAGAAAAUAAUUACGUAGAAUAUAGGCACCACAGCAGUAAAGCUUAAGGCCCCAAACGGCCAGCCCCUUCCUUUGAAGCCCAUUCCAUUUCACAAAUUCAUUUCAGUUCUAUAAAUAUUGGAAUAUUUACUGUUUCUUCAAUAACGGUGGGGAAUACAAGAAUGAAUGUGAUUCGGUAUCCAUCCUUCUGUACCUCCAAGAGUAGCGUUGAGGGGAGGCACACAUGUGUAUUACCAUUAAACGCAAAAGAAUCUAUAAAAAGUUUGGCCUACAACUGAAUCUUCUCCACAGUUCGGAUGUUUAUCCAUUUGGCAGUCCUUGGUUUAUUGGGGUCUUGGUUUGCUUUUCCCAACAAAAUGGUAAUUCCUAGAUCCAUUGAAGUCACUUCUGAUUCAGUCUAAGAUUUUAGACACCAUUUUAUUCUGAGCUCUUAACCUCUUGCUUUGGUAACAGAAUAAAUGUCAUUUAAAGACAUAGGUAGAUAUAUUAUCACAGUGAUAUUGCUGUGAUAAUUCCAUAUUUGAAGUCAUGGUGACAUUUUUAUGCUUGGAAACUCAAGUCAAACUUCUCUGUUUUGAAUUUCCUGUUUUAGAUUAAUUAUCACUAAACUCCCAAGUUGUUGAAACCUGGGUGUCCCAAGGGACAUUUUCUUCAAGCGUGUUAGAAUGGCUUGCUCCCUCCCCAGUCUCUACAUCUGUAACUUCACCCACAUGAGCCUCAUCACCUAAGACCUUAGCCUCUUAAUUAAUAAUAGAUGCCAAUUAUGGAGAAUGCCUGCUAUGUUACAGACCAUGUGCUCAAAACUUUGCAUUCAUUUUCAUACAAAUUCAGAUCGACACUAUGAUUAUGGCCAUUUUUAAGUAGUAACAUUGAAACUCUAAGAAGUAACUCGGCAGGCAGAGACACAGUUAAUAAGAGAACAGCUCAUUUCAAGUCCAGGACUCCUCUAAGUCUAGAGCCUGAACUUGCAUCUUUAUCUCUACUCCUAUACUGCGGAAACUUUGAUGGCCCUCUAUGACCUACUCUAAGAAACAGGCUCCUCUGCCAAGAAUUUAAGACCGUUGAUGAUCUGGACACACAUAGACCAUUUCCUAAUACACGUUUCCUAGUACUAGUCAGCUUGCACAGAAGCUUGCACGGAUUCUGCAGCCAACAGUCAAAGCAGCAGCUCUGUAAUUCAGAGGUGAUAACGCAGAAGAAUAAGUAGUAUUCGGUCGUAGUACUGAAUCAAGCUUCCUCAUCCUUCCCACCUCCUCAGCUCUAUUACUUUGCUCAAGCAGUGUGCUCUCUUCUUUCUUAAGAUACUUCUGUAAAUCAGCUCAAGCUUUCCUUCAUUUAAAGCCUCUCCUAUCACUGGCCACACUCUCCUCUUUCUUACCAGUGCUCACUUUGUAUGUAUGUGGUCAGCCCAGAGACGUGAGCUGCUACUGUUAUUGAUUUUUAUUAAUAGUUAAUGUUUACAUAAUAUUUAGUAUGUACAGAGUACUGCUUUGUUAACAUAUAUUAAUUCAGACACUAGUCCAGUGUACCUUAGUUAACUGUCCCCAAAUAAAUUGCAAAGUCCAGUCACAUUUUUUUUGUAUUGAAUUUCUCAAAGAACUUGGCCAAUAAUCACUUUCAGUAACUAUCUGUUGAUGAACUAUGAAGGCUAAGACCCAUCCCACCUACUUAAGGAAUGUGACCCUUUAGGUGUUACUUAGCACCUCCAAGCUUUGUUAUAUAAAGAAUAAUAAAGUCAGCUGUGGAAAUUCCCUGGCAGUCCCGUGGUUGAAACUCCAAUCUUCCACUGCCCCAGAGCACAGGUUCAGUCCUCAGUCAGGAAACAUCCAGCAAACCCCAUGGCACGGCAAAAAAUAAAUAAAGUCAGCUGUUUCAUAUAGGUUUGCUUUGAGGUUUAACUGGGAAACGUCAGAAACUUAUUUCAUCUAGUUCCUGAAAUGGUUGUGAGUGAGAGUGAAGUCGCUCCGUCAUGUCCAACUGUUUGCGACCCUGUGGACUGUAGCCCACCAGCCUCCUCUGUCCAUGGGAUUCUCCUGAAAUGGUUAGUGUUCCAGAAACCAUGUGGUAGUGCUUGCUGUUGAAGGUCUGGGACAUGCUGUGGGGUGGGGAAGAAGAGUGACAUAAAAUGUACUUAAACAAAAUAGUUGAAAUUCAAAAGGCCUAGUUCUAACAGUCACAGGUACCAGUGUCCUGUUAAGUAAGCCUCUGUUCCAUCAACUAGACUUAUCUGGUACUCAUGAUAGCCACUAAACAUUUCCACGAAUCCAACUUGGCAGCUUGGUCCUUACUUUAUGCUAAAAGGAUCCCAUGCCAUAACUCUUCAGUGGCCUGCCACCUCAUUUCCAUGUUGCUUACUGAUUUGGUGUUCUCCCAUCUACUAUCAGGGCUUCCCAGAUGGCUCAGGGGUCAAAAAUUCCGCCUGCCAAUGAAGGAUACACAAGAGACGCGGGUUUGAUCCCUGGGUUAAGAAGAUUCCUUGGAGAAGGAAGUGGAAACCCACGCCAAUAUUCUUGCCAUGGCGUCAUAGAAUUGGACAAGACUGAGUGCACACACACGCACACGGCUAUUAUCAGUGCAUUUCUCUCUGACCCGUUGAUUAUACAUCCUGCGUCCUGGUUCUGAGCUUUUCUGCAUGGCUCCUCAUCUUUUUUCCUUUGAUAAGCAAGCAAUAUUAAUAGAUUUAUUAUUAUAGGACACUUGUAAGAGAUGCUGGUGGGGAAGCUCUGCCUCGUGGCUCCUCAUCUUUAAACUGCUGAGUUGUUUCCAUUAGCUAAAUUUUCAGCAGACUUGUCCUUUAGCAUCUUCCUAAUUCUUUAAGUGCCCAGCUUUAGGCAUUUUACACAUUUUCAAGUGCCAUAAAGCACAGGUCCUCCAGAGAAAUUCCUCCACUGCCACUUGAAUGACUUAAAGUGACUUCUUACUCCUUAAAGAAAAGAGGAUAUUUUUAUCUAUGCCUAAAUUUGAUUAUUUACCCUUAGAAGAGAAGCAGAACCAACUUAAACUCCAGUCCCUAAUUUAUUAAUAAACUCAUAUGUUCUCAUUGGUCACUCCACACAUACCAGAGGUUCCCACAUUCACGAUGGGACACGAUGACCAAAGAUGCUGGUGAUUUUUAACAGCUUUAUUGAGGCAUAUUUUACACAUCAUAAAAUUUACCUGUGUCAAGUAGACAAUUCAGUGACUUUUAAUAACUUUACUGAGUGGUGCACCGUCACUAAAACCAGGUUUUAGAACAUUUUCACACACUUCCCCUUUAAGAGCUAUUGGGCCCAUUUAUACUAACACCCAUUAGCAUGACAUAAAUUGCAAUUUAAAAAAUAGUCAAAGUUCAUCCCCAGCCCCACUAUUUUCUCUCUCUAAAUUUCCUGUUUCUGAGCUUUUCAUACAAAUAGAGUCACAUAUAAUAUGUGAUCUCUCGUAUCUGCUUCUUUCACUUAAUAUCCUGUUUUUGAGGUUCAUCCAUGAAGUAGCAUGUGUCAGUGGCCCAUUCCUUUUCCUUCCCGAAUAGUAUUCCACUAUGUGGAUAGACCAUUUGUCUGUAUGUCCACCUGUUCAUGAACAUAAUGUGUAAUGCUGCCUUGAAUACGUGUGUGAAAGUUUUUUUGUGGAUAUAUGUUUUCAUUUCUCUCAAGCAUGUACCUAGGAAUGUGACUACUGGAUCAUAUUGUAACUCUGUGUUUUAACUUUUUGAGGAACUGGCAGACUGUUUUCCGAAGCAGCCACACCAUGUUACAUGCUCACUAGCAGUGUAUGAGGGCCCGUGGUUAGAUUUAAGAGAAAGUGCUUUCACAUAGCAGGGAAACAAGACUGUAAGCACCUUAAAGAUAUGUCAGUACCUUACACUUAAUAACAUAACAGGUAUCUGUUGCAUUGUUAAUUGAGUGACAUUAAUACUUAUGAUUUUGAAAACUUCCCCCAAACGACAAUGUUAAAAAGUUAACUCAGGCUGUCAUACUUGGGACCUGUUUUUGCAGUCUCCUAAAAUUUUGCAUGUAACAUUUAUUACUGGAUUAUUUUUAAUGAUGAAAUUUACAAAGAAGAGAUUUUUAAACAAGACUAUAGUGUUCUCCCAUACAUGCUAACAUAUUUAAAAGCUAAAAAAUUAAAACAGUAUAGAUAGGUAUAAAAUGAAAGUAUUCCUCCUCUCUUCUACCUGACCGUUCCUGUUCCUUGUCUCAAAGGUAACCACUUGCCAAGGGUUCAGGUUUUGUUUGUUUUUUUUUUAAUAAUGUAUUUUAUUUAUUUAUUUGGCUGUUCUGCUGGCUCUUGGUUGCGGCACUUGAGAUCACUGAUCGUUCUGGCGGGCAAGAUCUUUUAGUUGCAACAUACAGGCUCUCUUUUUUAGUUGGGGCCUCAGAAUCUUUAGUUUCGGCAUGUGGGAUCUAAUUCCUUGACCAGGGAUCGAACCUGUUCCCCUUGCACUGGAAACACGGAGUCUUAGCCUCUGGACCACCAGAGAAGUCCCUUUGGAUUUUGUUCUUAUGCUAUUGUCAUUUAAAGCCAGAGUCAAGUUUUUUUUGUUGAUUUUUCUUUUUCUUUAGAAUAUCCACCUCCCAGUAUGACUCUAAGCGUGCUGUACUUGGCACAAUGAAGCACCUCGUGAGGUUGUCAGGAGGAUUAAGUGUGAUCCUACAGUAUCUGGACUGUACACUGUAAGAGAGCUAAAUAAACAGCAGCCGUUAUUCUCAUGAACAACUUUUCCCAAACUUCUUUGCAGAAUAAUUAAUUAUCUAGGUGACCUGGGCUUCUCUGGUGGCUCAGAGGUAAAGAACCCGCCUGCCAAUGCAGGAGACACAGGUUCCAUCCCUGGGUUGGGAAGAUCCCCUGCAGAAGGAAAUGGCACCCCCACUCUGGUAUUCUUGCCUGGGAAAUCCCAUGGACAGAGGGACCUGGCAGGCUACAAUCCAUGAGGUCGAAAAGAGUCAGACACAGCUUAGCAACUGAGCAUGAGCAAGAUGACAUACAGAGUUUAAAUAUUGAUGAAUAAAUAAAUCCAUGAGAACAGAGGUUUGCCUUAGCCAGGUAGACUUGGAGUGUUAGAAUGAAGAGUUGAUGUCCUACUGACCCAUCCUCAAGUUACCAGUUCAUCUUCUAAUCUUUUCUUUGCCUCUGGCCUACCUGGAUGAGCCUAGAAAGACUUCUGGUCAAAUGAAGCAGCAAGAAAUCUGGACUACCUCGUGAACAACUAGAUAAAAGUCACAGUAGUGACAAGACUUGAGCAAAGCAGAGACCGGAAAUGGAUAAAUGGAAAUGUGACAUUGGAGGCAAUGAGUAAGCAGAUGGGGAGAGAAUAGAAGAGCUUUAGAAAGACGAGAGGAAGAUUGAGUCAUACUGAAAAGAUGAAAAAACAAAUGGUACUUCACCACUGACCUGCCUAAUCUCCCCCUUCUCUCCUGGAAGAUGCUCCUCCUUGUCGCUCCCUGUGCUGCUCUGUGUCUUGUCACUGAAGCGGGGUGGCUGACAUGCCUCUCCUUCCCUAAUGGAGAUGCUAAUCUCUGUACAAGUGUUGGUGUUUUCUUAAAGUCCGUGUAUGUCAGGUUUAUGAUUAUAUCCAUGUUUAUUACCUUCUAGAUUUUUCAAAUUGUGUCUUGCAUCCUGUUCAAUGAGUUAAAAAAUGGGAAGAACUCAGAAUACUUUAAUUUUUGUGUCUUUUACUGUUAAGGAUUAUUAUCUGAAAACAGUUAUCUUAUGAUCCUACAGAUUAUUUUGAAACAUCUAAUGUGUAGAGCUAUGAAAGCUGCAUUGUGAGUUGAGUUGCCAUAUGUCAACAGUGAAGGAAAACUAUUCAUCAUGACAACUUUUAUUAUCACUGUACUGUUUCUGUAAUUCAUAAGAAAAUGGUUCCUCAUUUGAUCUUAACAACUUAAAUGUUUGUAUAACAUGUAAGGUGGUCCUCUGAGAGCCUA
This is a long non-coding RNA of Bubalus bubalis (water buffalo), 7742 nucleotides long. RefSeq lists it as uncharacterized. The transcript is spliced from 2 exons. The record is from RefSeq and is a predicted model, not a curated record. NCBI's taxonomy places the organism in Eukaryota, Metazoa, Chordata, Mammalia, Artiodactyla, Bovidae.